AGUCAUCAUGGCCCUUAUGUCCUGGGCUACACACGUGCUACAAUGGCGAGUACAGAGCGAAAACAGGCAACGCCGCGAGGCCGAGCGAACCGCAGAAAACUCGUCUCAGUUCGGAUUGGAGUCUGAAACCCGACUCCAUGAAGGUGGAAUCGCUAGUAAUCGCGCAUCAGCACGGCGCGGUGAAUACGUUCCCGGGCCUU
RNAcentral lists this ribosomal RNA (200 nucleotides) under uncultured organism. RNAcentral describes it as "partial small subunit ribosomal RNA". It matches the Rfam family "Bacterial small subunit ribosomal RNA", at positions 1188 to 1382 of the family's 1533-position model. The record is from RNAcentral.